GAAAUCGAUUUGAAACUCGUCGUUGAUGUUCUUAUGAGGAAGAAAACGAAGAAGAAGAACCCAGUGAUCGUCGGAGACUCAAUUUCGUUCACUGAAGGUUUCGUUUCAGAGCUAAUGGCAAAGCUAGAGAGAGGAGAAAUCGAUCAAACCGGUGAGUUAAAGCAAACCCAUUUCGUCAAGUUUCAUUUUUCGCCAAUGGCGUCCAAGUUCAUGAGAAGAGAAGACGUUGAGCUAAACAUAAAGGAGUUAAGGAAGAAAGUGCUCUCUUUAACAACGAGUGGCAAAAAUGCAAU
Molecule: small RNA, 293 nt
Filed under: Arabidopsis thaliana (thale cress)
Lineage: Eukaryota; Viridiplantae; Streptophyta; Magnoliopsida; Brassicales; Brassicaceae
Description: ATSL300820
Source: RNAcentral